UAUCACUCCCAUCCACUUUCAAUCUGAUUAAAGCACAACUCAGAGAAAGAUGAUUUUAGGACAUUGGAUUUUAUUUGGACUCAUUUCAUAUUCUUAUGGACAGUCCCUGACCUCCUCUGCUUCUGUUGUGAAGAGACCUGGAGAGUCAGUCACUCUGUCCUGUACUGUCUCUGGAUACUCAGUGGGCAGUUACUGGAUGCACUGGAUCCGUCAGAAACCAGGACGAGGACUGGAGUGGAUUGGACGCAUUGACACUGGCACUAGCACAGCAUUCGCUCAGUCUCUGCAGGGCCAGUUCUCCAUCACUAAAGACACCAAUAAAAACAUGCUGUAUCUAGAAGUGAAGAGUCUGAAAGCUGAAGACACGGCUGUUUAUUACUGUGCACGAGACUCACACUAAUACAACAGACUGCAGAGCUGUACAACAACUUACACAAACACGUCCUCAUGAGCUGUAAAUAUUCCCUCAGCAGGAAACUGAACCCCACAGACAUUUAUUAUAAACAAAAGGGGUUUUAUUUCUUUUCUCUUCCUCCAUUUACAGUAAAAUUCCUCUGUAAAAUGCUCAGUUUCUUUCUUUUUAUUAUCUCUGGCUGGUGCUUAAAGCUGAAGACAAACCUGAAACCAAAAUUAAGUAAAAGCAAAGACAUUGUUUAAAAUGAAGAUGUUACAGAUGUCUUAUAUCAGUGUGUCAUGAAACCAGGCUGAAUAAUCAAAAUUUUUUGAUGUUGAAAUGAAGUCUGUCUUUACUUCUGCUGCAUCUUUAUGAAAAUCUAAACCCUGCAAAUCAAAAUUGAUUCAAAAUAUUUGGAGUAUAUUUAGUAUCUAAUCCUUGUUGUGAGUUUCUCUAUAUGUGCAAU
Silurus meridionalis is the source of this 860-nucleotide non-coding RNA. NCBI's taxonomy places the organism in Eukaryota, Metazoa, Chordata, Actinopteri, Siluriformes, Siluridae. The record is from the annotation of a RefSeq genome assembly.